Molecule: ribosomal RNA, 505 nt
Filed under: uncultured bacterium
Lineage: Bacteria
Description: partial 16S ribosomal RNA
Rfam family: Bacterial small subunit ribosomal RNA
Source: RNAcentral
GGCGAACGCUGGCGGCGUGCCUAAUACAUGCAAGUAGAACGCACAGUUUAUACCGUAGCUUGCUACACCAUAGACUGUGAGUUGCGAACGGGUGAGUAACGCGUAGGUAACCUGCCUGGUAGCGGGGGAUAACUAUUGGAAACGAUAGCUAAUACCGCAUAAUAUUGAUUAUUGCAUGAUAAUUGAUUGAAAGAUGCUAUUGCAUCACUACCAGAUGGACCUGCGUUGUAUUAGCUAGUAGGUGAGGUAACGGCUCACCUAGGCGACGAUACAUAACCGACCUGAGAGGGUGAGCGGCCACACUGGGACUGAGACACGGCCCAGACUCCUACGGGAGGCAGCAGUAGGGAAUCUUCGGCAAUGGACGAAAGUCUGACCGAGCAACGCCGCGUGAGUGAAGAAGGUUGUCGGAUCGGAAAGCUCUGUUGUAAGAGAAGAACGGGUGUGAGAGUGGAAAGUUCACACUGUGACGGUAUCUUACCAGAAAGAGACGGCUAACUACGUG